Ictidomys tridecemlineatus (thirteen-lined ground squirrel) is the source of this 70-nucleotide non-coding RNA. NCBI's taxonomy places the organism in Eukaryota, Metazoa, Chordata, Mammalia, Rodentia, Sciuridae. The record is from Rfam.
GGGGUUGUGGCUCAGCGGUAGAGCACUCACCUGGAACGUGAGGGACCCUGGUUCGAUCCUCAUAACCACA